UUACUACCAAACUGAUAGAUUAAAACAAUCUUUACCAUUCAGUGAUAACAAGCACUUUUUUUACAUUUUAAUAUUUUAUGAUGUAUUUAAAUGAGUAGUUAUUGUUGCAAACUUCAUUAGAAAUUUGAAUUGAGAUCAGUUUUGAAAUAAGGGAAAGGGGGAUGUGAAAAAAAAAUUGGGGGGUCAAUUUUUUUCAUUUCAGAUUUCAUAAAUAAAAAGAAAAUUUCUUCAAACAUUUUUUUGAGAGAGGAUUAAUAUUCAACAGCAUAGUGAAUUGCUCAAAGGCAAAAAAAAAAUUUUUAAGUUCAUUAGACCACAUUCAUUCUGUGUCAGAAACCUAUGCUGUGUCAACUAUUUAAUCACAAUCCAAAUUUAGAGCUGAAUCCAGCUUGAAUGUUGUGUCCAUACUUGCCCCAACCGUUCAGGGUUCAACCUCUGCGGUCGUAUAAAGCUGCGCCCUGCGGAGC
This 467-nucleotide long non-coding RNA is filed under the name Mytilus galloprovincialis (Mediterranean mussel). Lineage: Eukaryota; Metazoa; Mollusca; Bivalvia; Mytilida; Mytilidae. The record is from RNAcentral.